AUGGUUAUUGUACCAGAUCUAAGAUUGUUUGGUUCUAAGUUGGGAAAAAUUAUUUUGAAAACGUUCAUGAUCCAAUUGUGCAUUGAAUUACCUAAAGUCUUGCUAAUUAUUGACACAUUCUACAGAUUGAGGAGAACCUAUGAGGUCAUCAUCAUUUGUGAGGAGGCAGUUCACAAAGAACGAAUUUAUCUUUACUUUGCUAUUGCUUUUGGGUUCAAAGAUUCAUGUUCUGGGCUGAGUGGUCCUGAGAAAGAUUCUUGUCAUAUGAAGCUUGUUAAGAGUGAGAUGAGAAGUACUCCCACCAGACAUUUCUAA
Molecule: non-coding RNA, 315 nt
Organism: Vicia faba (fava bean)
Lineage: Eukaryota; Viridiplantae; Streptophyta; Magnoliopsida; Fabales; Fabaceae
Source: the annotation of a GenBank genome assembly